This 125-nucleotide small RNA is filed under the name Marmota monax (woodchuck). Lineage: Eukaryota; Metazoa; Chordata; Mammalia; Rodentia; Sciuridae. The record is from RNAcentral.
GCCAGGCACGGUGGCACUUGCCUGUAAUCCCUGCAGCUCGGGAGGCUGAGAUAGGAGGAUCACGAGUUCAAAACUAGCCUCAGCAGAAGUGAGGCACUAAGCAACUCAGUGAGACUCUGUCUCUA